AUACGGAGGGUGCAAGCGUUGUUCGGAAUCACUGGGCGUAAAGGGCGCGCAGGCGGUUUGGUAAGUCAGAUGUGAAAGCCCACGGCUCAACCGUGGAAGUGCAUUUGAAACUGCCAGACUAGAGUACCAGAGGGGAAAGUGGAAUUCCCGGUGUAGAGGUGAAAUUCGUAGAUAUCGGGAGGAAUACCGGUGGCGAAGGCGACUUUCUGGCUGGAUACUGACGCUGAGGCGCGAAAGCGUGGGGAGCAAACAGGAUUAGAAACCCUAGUAGUCC
RNAcentral lists this ribosomal RNA (274 nucleotides) under uncultured bacterium. Its description in RNAcentral is "partial 16S ribosomal RNA". It matches the Rfam family "Bacterial small subunit ribosomal RNA", at positions 523 to 796 of the family's 1533-position model. The record is from RNAcentral.